AUACGUAGGGAGCGAGCGUUGUCCGGAAUUACUGGGCGUAAAGGGCGCGUAGGCGGCGCUUCAAGUCGUCUGUCAAAUGGGAGGGCUUAACCCUUUUUCGCAGACGAAACUGGAGAGCUUGAGAAGCAGAGAGGCAAACAGAAUUCCUGGUGUAGCGGGGAAAUGCGUAGAUAUCAGGAAGAAUACCAGUGGCGAAGGCGGUUUGCUGGCUGCGUACUGACGCUGAAGCGCGAAAGCCAGGGGAGCAAACGGGAUUAGAUACCCCGGUAGUCCUGGCAGUAAACGAUGUAUGCUGGGUGUGAGACUAGCGAUAGUUUCGUGCCGAAGUUAACGCGAUAAGCAUACCGCCUGGGGAGUACGGUCGCAAGAUUGAAACUCAAAGGAAUUGACGG
This 392-nucleotide ribosomal RNA is filed under the name uncultured bacterium. RNAcentral's name for it is "partial 16S ribosomal RNA". It matches the Rfam family "Bacterial small subunit ribosomal RNA", at positions 523 to 916 of the family's 1533-position model. The record is from RNAcentral.